RNAcentral lists this ribosomal RNA (245 nucleotides) under uncultured archaeon. RNAcentral's name for it is "partial 16S ribosomal RNA". It matches the Rfam family "Archaeal small subunit ribosomal RNA", at positions 474 to 717 of the family's 1478-position model. The record is from RNAcentral.
UCCCGGCAGUCCAAGUCGCAGCCAGCAUUAUUGGGUCUAAAACAUCCGUAGCUUGCUUAUUAAGUUCCUUGUGAAAUUCUAUGUCUCAAGCAUGGAAAUUGCGGGGAAUACUGAUAAGCUAGAGACCGGAAGAUGUAAAGAGUAUGUUUGAGGUAGUAGUAAAAUACGUUAAUCUUAAGCAGACUAACAAUUGGCGAAGGCACUUUACAAGUACGGAUCUGACAGUGAGGGAUGAAGGCUAGGGG